GCUUUCGGCCAUACCAUCCUGAACAUGCUUGAUCUCGUCUGAUCUUGGGAGCUAUGCAAGGUCAGGUCUGGUUAGUACUUGGAUGGGAGAGUGCUUGGGAAGCUUUUCUUCCCCUCAAAAACAGCAGGGGGCGCUGCU
Molecule: ribosomal RNA, 138 nt
Filed under: Mola mola (ocean sunfish)
Lineage: Eukaryota; Metazoa; Chordata; Actinopteri; Tetraodontiformes; Molidae
Source: RNAcentral